GCUGGUGCACCGAACUGCUUCCCUCACUUUCGAUCAAUCGUUGCUCCACGUGCUAACGUUGGUUGCAAAAACGAUCGGGUUCCUGUGUUGUGUACCUAUAUAAUGGAAAUCGGUUCCUCUCGUUGUCCCUUUCAUCCCCGCAUCCUCUUGGAUGCUCGGUUGUACUAGAUAGAAGGGCUCGUGUUCCAUGGACAUCCAACGUGAUCGUUCUGAUGGUGCUCGAGUGCCCUUCUUGUCCCUUCGGAUGCGGAAAUUGCCUCAUGGGCGUKGGGUCAUCGGCCCUUGUGUUCCCGAAUAUGUUGAAGCGUUUUGUCGCUUCAUAUCGGAAUGACGCUCUCGCCUUGUCCUUGAUCACGUGGAGCUCUCGGGCUACUACCACACAGGAUCAUGCUCGGCAGACGUCGUGAAGGAAUGC
This 415-nucleotide unclassified non-coding RNA is filed under the name Hypocalymma robustum. RNAcentral's name for it is "partial external transcribed spacer". The record is from RNAcentral. Lineage: Eukaryota; Viridiplantae; Streptophyta; Magnoliopsida; Myrtales; Myrtaceae.